CAAUGUUUGACAGUGGUGAAGAGAUUGUAGAGAACCCAUUUUCACAGGACGACAGCAAUUAUAGGUUGGACAGUCUUGAAAAUCAAGGCAUUGACAGUAAUGAACUAUUGGUGGAUGAAAAUGAGGAGCCUCCGAGAGGAUGGAGAAAAUACAUUUGCUGUAUCAGCCCCCCCAAAAGUCAGGUGCGCAUUAAUUUAUGCCCUUGGGUACAU
Molecule: long non-coding RNA, 212 nt
Organism: Ostrea edulis (European flat oyster)
Lineage: Eukaryota; Metazoa; Mollusca; Bivalvia; Ostreida; Ostreidae
Exons: 3
Source: RefSeq, a predicted model, not a curated record